RNAcentral lists this long non-coding RNA (225 nucleotides) under Eutrema salsugineum. RNAcentral describes it as "long non-coding RNA (ESAL_LNC001040)". The record is from RNAcentral. Lineage: Eukaryota; Viridiplantae; Streptophyta; Magnoliopsida; Brassicales; Brassicaceae.
GGAGGAGAACCCCUUAUAUAUUAGAUUCAAAAAAAAGUCAAAAAAUCAAAUGAUUACACAGCCCACUUCGCUCCGCUGCUCUGCCGAAAAACGAUACGAGAAAUUCGAAAGAACUCAGAUACAGAACGAGGGCGGCCAAAAAAAGAAAGAGCUUCGCUCGGUGCGCCUUCCUACGCUGACGAAUGCCUCCUUUCUCUUCUCUUCAGUCUACAACAAGUGGGAGAG